AGUGACUGCCCAAUCUUUAGUGUGUUUUGCUGACUCCUGGCGCUCUGGCUUUUCCAUAAGAGGCGUUUUUGCACGAUUGCAGACAGGAAUAAAAAUGAGCUCUGCCUACUGGGCCGUCCUGGUUAGCAAGGUCUACACCACCUCAAAGGCAGCUAUGGACUAAGAGCCCACAAAGAAUCUCGGGUUAUGAGGGAGGGGCUGGCCGUGGAGACGGCUAAAGCGCCUCAUUUGUCUUCCCAGCAGGGAAGCGAUGGGACCUCGGCGGGCAGGGAACGCGAUCUCCACCCGUCUGGAAAACUCUCUGAGUUCUGGAGCACUGUUCGCGGCCGGACUGAGUGGCAUGUCCGCAUUUUCCCCAUUCCAGGGUAGGGCAGACUGAGGUAGGAGAGCAGAGCCCCGAGGCCGACUCCCCGGGAAAAAAAAAAAAAGGAAAAAAGGCUCCCGCCGACCUGUGAUUCACAGGAGCAAGAGGCUGGAAGGACCGCGCCUCCUGAUUGGAGCAGACAGAAUCAGACAAGCUUGGGGGCCGCUGAUUGGCUCCGGCGUGGUCAGGCGCUGGUGGGCUGUUGUAGGUGUAAAUAGCUCUUGAAGGCCCGGGUCUGUGACCGGCAGUAACCCCGGCGAGAGUGGGUGGAGAGGGAGGCGCUUCCUCUCCAUUCAUGUCAGCUGCCAGCCAGGCCCGGGCAGGCCGGCCCUUUAGCGGAGGGGACUGGGCAGGACGAGGCGAUGGGUGUCUUCGGAGAUCUUAAGCUGGGCUGAAAGUUAAACACUCACCCGCAGGGCUGAGCCAGAGCUGGCACCUUCCACACCGAGCCCCUUCCUAUCUGUGACUGUUGAAAAGUUUAAUGUGAUGUUCUGGGUGAGGACCGAGGCGUUGGAGGUCGCUAGGAGGGUAGUUUUACGGAGUCGCGUUAAUGGCUGUAGUGGGUGUACCUUAGUGACCACAGGGAGGUGGCAGCCUGUCCUCUCCUCCUCCUGGUCACCGUAUUCUAUUUGCGGAAAAGGUAAGAAUGGAGGCUUGGAUAGUCUUUCUACUAGAGAUGCAACUUCUCCCACCCUCUACUCCAGGGGAAAGAGAAGUCUGUGGGGAACUGGCUUUGUAAAAAGUAGGAAAGAGGAAAGGGACAAAUGGGUACACGUUAAGAAGAGGGUGACUCUCAUACAUUGCUGGAGAAAAUUUAAAGUGGUGCAGCCACUGGGGAAACAGUUUGAUGGUGCCACAAAAGGUUAAAUAUCAAAUUAGCAUCUGGCCCAGCAACUCCACUCCUAGAUAUAAACCCUAAUAAAUUAUAAACGGGUACUCAUAUUUGCACUCAAAUGUUCAUGGCAGUGCUAUUCACAAUAACCAAAAGGUGGAAGCAACUCCAGUGUUCAUCAAUUGAUAAAUCAGUAAACCAACUGUGGUGUAUUCAUACAAUGGAAUAUGAAUAGGUAAUAAACAGGAAUGAAGUACUGAUAUAUGCUCCAAUGGGGAUGAACAUUGAAAGAUUAUGCCAAGAGAAGGAAGCCAGACACAGAAGGUCAUAUAUUGUACGAUUCCAUGUAUAGGAAAUAUCCUGAAGUGGUAAAUCCACAGAGACAGAAAGCAGACUGAUGGUCACCAGGGGCCGAGUGUGGGUGGGAAGAUGGGGAAUCACUGUUGAAUGGGUUCAAGUUUUCUUUUGGGGUGAAAAUGUUUUAGAACAAAAGGUAGUGUUUGCACAAUGUUAUGAAUGCACUAAGUGCCACAGAACUGGUCAAUUUAAAAUGGUUAGUUCGGCCUGGCACGGUGGCUCACACCUGUAAUCCCAGCACUUUGAGAGGGUGGGGCGGGCGGAUCACCUGAGGUCAGGAGUU
This 1836-nucleotide long non-coding RNA is filed under the name Homo sapiens (human). RNAcentral's name for it is "non-protein coding lnc-PKD2L1-7:1". The record is from RNAcentral. Lineage: Eukaryota; Metazoa; Chordata; Mammalia; Primates; Hominidae.